Molecule: unclassified non-coding RNA, 352 nt
Filed under: soil metagenome
Description: partial contains 5.8S ribosomal RNA, internal transcribed spacer 2, and large subunit ribosomal RNA
Rfam family: 5.8S ribosomal RNA (bases 1-120)
Source: RNAcentral
GAUGAAGAACGUAGCGAAAUGCGAUAACUAAUGUGAAUUGCAGAAUUCCGUGAAUCAUCGAAUCUUUGAACGCACAUUGCGCCCGCCAGUAUUCUGGCGGGCAUGCCUGUUCGAGCGUCAUUACAACCCUCAGGCCCCCGGGCCUGGCGUUGGGGAUCGGCAGAAGCCCCCUGUGGGCACACGCCGUCCCUCAAAUACAGUGGCGGUCCCGCCGCAGCUUCCAUUGCGUAGUAGCUAACACCUCGCAACUGGAGAGCGGCGCGGCCAUGCCGUAAAACACCCAACUUCUGAAUGUUGACCUCGAAUCAGGUAGGAAUACCCGCUGAACUUAAGCAUAUCAAUAAGCGGAGGA